GCUGCUGCUUAUUUGUGUACUCUCCUUAUUUCUUGGUGGGGAAUUUCAAUGUUUCAAAAGCAUAGAUGAACAGAUUGCCAGUAUUAAACAGUAGGGUGCUUUCUAUAUUGUUGCACCAGGUUAAUUGUGUCUCAGAAUACUU
Macadamia integrifolia is the source of this 142-nucleotide small nucleolar RNA. RefSeq annotates it as small nucleolar RNA snoR137. The transcript has a single exon. The record is from RefSeq and is a predicted model, not a curated record. NCBI's taxonomy places the organism in Eukaryota, Viridiplantae, Streptophyta, Magnoliopsida, Proteales, Proteaceae.